GCGCCCUCUUAAGGCAGCCUCAGGGCUCCAAGAUGCUAACACAGAGGGUAAAGGAAGAAUCAUAAAACAUCCCAGAUUGUAAAAACUUUUCCUUGCAUCCUGUUUGGAGUCACAGCC
This is a small nucleolar RNA of Sorex araneus (European shrew), 117 nucleotides long. The record is from Ensembl. Lineage: Eukaryota; Metazoa; Chordata; Mammalia; Eulipotyphla; Soricidae.